UGGGGAAUAUUGCACAAUGGGGGAAACCCUGAUGCAGCGACGCCGCGUGAGCGAAGAAGGUUUUCGAAUCGUAAAGCUCUGUCCUAUGGGAAGAUAAUGACGGUACCAUAGGAGGAAGCCCCGGCUAACUACGUGCCAGCAGCCGCGGUAAUACGUAGGGGGCAAGCGUUGUCCGGAAUCACUGGGCGUAAAGGGUUCGCAGGCGGAAAUGCAAGUCAGUUGUGAAAGGCAGAGGCUCAACCUCUGUAAGCAAUUGAAACUGUAUUUCUUGAGAUGUGGAGAGGCAAGUGGAAUUCCUAGUGUAGCGGUGAAAUGCGUAGAUAUUAGGAAGAAUACCGGUGGCGAAGGCGACUUACUGGACUUAAACUGACGCUCAGGCACGAAAGCGUGGGGAGCAAACAGG
This 403-nucleotide ribosomal RNA is filed under the name Fusobacteriota bacterium. Its description in RNAcentral is "Fusobacteria bacterium partial 16S ribosomal RNA". It matches the Rfam family "Bacterial small subunit ribosomal RNA", at positions 355 to 776 of the family's 1533-position model. Lineage: Bacteria; Fusobacteriati; Fusobacteriota. The record is from RNAcentral.